GUGGGGAAUCUUAGACAAUGGGGGCAACCCUGAUCUAGCCAUGCCGCGUGAGUGAUGAAGGCCUUAGGGUCGUAAAGCUCUUUCGCUGGGGAAGAUAAUGACGGUACCCAGUAAAGAAACCCCGGCUAACUCCGUGCCAGCAGCCGCGGUAAUACGGAUGGGGUUAGCGUUGUUCGGAAUUACUGGGCGUAAAGCGCGCGUAGGCGGAUUGGAAAGUUGGGGGUGAAAUCCCGGGGCUCAACCCUGGAAUGGCCUUCAAAACUCCCAGUCUUGAGGUCGAGAGAGGUGAGUGGAAUUCCGAGUGUAGAGGUGAAAUUCGUAGAUAUUCGGAGGAACACCAGUGGCGAAGGCGGCUCACUGGCUCGAUACUGACGCUGGGGUGCGAAAGCGUGGGGAGCAAACAGGAUUAGAUACCCCGGUAGUCC
Molecule: ribosomal RNA, 425 nt
Filed under: uncultured bacterium
Lineage: Bacteria
Description: partial 16S ribosomal RNA
Rfam family: Bacterial small subunit ribosomal RNA
Source: RNAcentral